GGGGAAUCUUGCGCAAUGGGGGCAACCCUGACGCAGCGACGCCGCGUGCGGGACGAAGGCCUUCGGGUCGUAAACCGCUUUCAGCAGGGACGAGACAAGACGGUACCUGCAGAAGAAGCCCCGGCUAACUACGUGCCAGCAGCCGCGGUAAUACGUAGGGGGCGAGCGUUAUCCGGAUUCAUUGGGCGUAAAGCGCGCGUAGGCGGCCGCGUAGGCGGGGGGUCAAAUCCCGGGGCUCAACCCCGGUCCGCCCCCCGAACCCCGCGGCUCGGGUCCGGUAGGGGAGGGUGGAAUUCCCGGUGUAGCGGUGGAAUGCGCAGAUAUCGGGAGGAACACCGGUGGCGAAGGCGGCCCUCUGGGCCGAGACCGACGCUGAGGCGCGAAAGCUGGGGGAGCGAAC
This 400-nucleotide ribosomal RNA is filed under the name uncultured bacterium. Its description in RNAcentral is "bacterial SSU rRNA". It matches the Rfam family "Bacterial small subunit ribosomal RNA", at positions 356 to 773 of the family's 1533-position model. The record is from RNAcentral.